GUGCCGUGAGGUGUUGGGUUAAGUCCSGCAACGAGCGCAACCCUUGUCCUUAGUUGCCCCCGGGUAAUGCUGUGGCACUCUAAGGAAACUGCCCGUGUUAAGCGGGAGGAAGGUGGGGACGACGUCAAGUCAUCAUGGCCUUUAUAUCCAGGGCUACACACGUGCUACAAUGGAUGGCACAGAGAGUUGCGAGUGCGCGAGCAGGAGCUAAUCUCAAAAAACCAUCCUCAGUUCGGAUCGAAGUCUGCAACUCGACUUCGUGAAGCUGGAAUCGCUAGUAAUCGCGGAUCAGCAUGCCGCGGUGAAUACGUUCCCGGGCCU
Molecule: ribosomal RNA, 321 nt
Filed under: uncultured bacterium
Lineage: Bacteria
Description: bacterial SSU rRNA
Rfam family: Bacterial small subunit ribosomal RNA
Source: RNAcentral